ACUAUUUUGGCAGAGAAGUGUGAUAGAUUUAGAAUCUAUAAAUGUAAUUGUUAUUACAAGUAGUA
This 65-nucleotide transfer RNA is filed under the name Rhyparobia maderae (Madeira cockroach). RNAcentral describes it as "tRNA-Leu". Lineage: Eukaryota; Metazoa; Arthropoda; Insecta; Blattodea; Blaberidae. The record is from RNAcentral.